GACGAACGCUGGCGGCGUGCUUAACACAUGCAAGUCGAGCGAUGAAAGCCUUAUGAACUAUUCGUAGUGAUUGAGGCCGGAUUAGCGGCGGACGGGUGAGUAACGCGUGAGCAACCUGCCUUAAACAACGGGAUAGCCUCGGGAAACCGGGAUUAAUACCGUAUGAGACCCCGCCUUCACAUGAAGAAGAGGUUAAAGAUUUAUCGGUUUAAGAUGGGCUCGCGUCUGAUUAGCUAGUUGGUGAGAUAAAAGCCCACCAAGGCAACGAUCAGUAACCGGCUUGAGAGAGUGAACGGGCACAUUGGAACUGAGACACGGUCCAAACUCCUACGGGAGGCAGCAGUGGGGAAUAUUGCACAAUGGGGGAAACCCUGAUGCAGCGACGCCGCGUGAGCGAUGAAGGAAUUCGUUUCGUAAAGCUCUGUCCAAGGGGAAGAUAAUGACAGUACCCUUGGAGGAAGCCCCGGCUAAAUACGUGCCAGCAGCCGCGGUAA
RNAcentral lists this ribosomal RNA (494 nucleotides) under uncultured bacterium. RNAcentral describes it as "partial 16S ribosomal RNA". It matches the Rfam family "Bacterial small subunit ribosomal RNA", at positions 28 to 523 of the family's 1533-position model. The record is from RNAcentral.